This is a non-coding RNA of Rattus norvegicus (Norway rat), 6740 nucleotides long. The record is from RefSeq and is a predicted model, not a curated record. Lineage: Eukaryota; Metazoa; Chordata; Mammalia; Rodentia; Muridae.
AGGGCAGUGUAACCAGUAAAGGAUUUUUUAGGCAGGAAACUGGGAAAGGAAAUAACAUUUUAAAUGAAAAUAUAGAAACAUCCAGUUAAAAAAAGCAAUAAAAUUUGCUAAAAAAUGAAAGAUAUAAAAUAAAAGUAAACUGCCAACUAAGUAUACCUAUUCACUUGGAAAUCUACAAUGAUAGUCAGAGUAAUACAAGUGGUAAGACUAAGAUGAUGAUAUCUGAACUAGAGCACUUCUCUCUCCCAGAUAGAAGUAUCAGACAGAAACUGCACUAUAGGUAUCCAAAACAUUGAAGAGUUUACUCUGAGCUGAGGACAUAAUGCUUGUCCAUCCCAUCUUCCUUAGUAACUUUCUCUUUUUGACAAAAAGUAUAAAGUCCAUAACCUGUCAGGGAUACAACUGUGCCAUUCACAACACUUGGCUUUGGAAUAAAGAAAUGAAUGAUAUAAACUCUCUGACUUCCAGAAAGCAAAAGAACAGGGAAGUCCAGAUGCUUCUGAGAGGCUCCCGGCUCCUGAUUCUCUUAUGUGGAAGACGAAGAUAAAGGCUAUCUCUUCAGAGAUACCCCUCAACACCUAACAAGGACAUACUAAGCUUUCCCAAGCACCACAUAUUUUUCCUCGUUUUUUUUUUUAUACCAAGACAGAAGGCCAGCUUCCUUGUCUCCAUUUCAUAUCCUUCAUCCUCUUUUUACUCACUUCCAAAUUGUCUCUGAAUUAGGCCAAAUAGUAAACCUUAGAGGUAUUGAAGGAAAAUAUGAGAGGCAGUUGCAGUCAUGACAACAGAAGGAGCUAGGGGUCACCAGAUUAUAAGAGAGUUUUCAGGGAGGUUCUAAUGAUAAUGUCACUGAGCACUACCGUGAUCUACAUGCUGAACACUUCCUUACAUUGACCAGAUUCAAGAGUGCCCUUACCAGGUAUGUCUCAGGAAACACAGUGGAAACCUGUAUGUACUACAUCACUCUAAAGUAGAGACUUCUCUCUGCUUCUCUAGUCGUUACAUGCUCUGAAUGUAGAAAGUUAGGCAGGGGCUUAGCAUGGGUAGAAACUAUUUAGGAACCUGGAGUGUAGGAAAUAAUUCUAGAUAAUAUUUUUAUUCCCAGGUUCAUUCCUGUGACAUAACGUUCAAUUUUCUGUGUUUUCUUUCUUUCCCAAAUGCCAGCAUUUUCUCUACAACCUUUAAUUGAAUGAAUAUUGUAUUUCAAUUUCUUACUGUAAAUUCCUUGAUAGGGGACUUUGUAAAUGUUCCUUAUUGUGUAAUCAAAAAUUCUGUUUUCCAAUUAAAUUUUCUGCAAUGAUUUUGGUCACAAAGGGGGCCCAGCUAUAGAAUGAGUACAACACUGUAACUACUGUGUACCUAUUUCAAAUGAUGAAUUCCCAAAUUCCAUUUUUUUAUCAAAAAAAUUACCAGACAUUAGGAAAGCAAAGUAUAACAUGGAUUUUUUAUUCGGUUCUCUACUCCCAUUUGAUAUCAGUACUACCCUAUCUAUCUUCCAGUGUUCCCAUGGCCACACUUGAGUGUUUAGGAUGUUUUACCAUGAUUCUUUCUUAAGGCCAAAUGUAAUCUACCAGAUGAUGGGCAGGGGAGAAGAAUGGCUUGAGGACCAGUUAAAUGUCUACUUCAAUAGGUUCAUAAAAACAGGAGGAAGUCUAUUUACAUUGUCAUCUGUGAAUUCUACGUUCUUGACAUAGUUGGGGAGAAUCCUUGUUAACAUUCCGCUUAACAACGUAAGUGUAGAAGCCUCCAAAAUUAUUUAUAUACAUCAGCCACCAAAACUAGAUAAGAUUGAUACAGCUAAUAAGUGCAUUCUUCCAGGAACUGGAUAAAGAUAUUUACUGAGAGACACAGAUACGGCAUGUCAAAUACAGAAGUGAAUGCUAGUAGCAAACCAGUGAACUGAAAACGGACCUCUUGUAGGUAAAUAUUGAAAAAGGUUAGAAGAGCUGAAGGUGAUUUCAACCUCAUAAGAACAACAAUGCCAAUAAACCAGAGCCUUCGGAUACCAGACCAAUAAACAAAGAACGUACAUGGACUGAUCUAUGGCUCCAAAUUUAUAUGUGGCAGAGGAUGGCCUUUUUGGGCAAAAAUGGUGAUGAUGCCCGUGGUCCUCCCUAAUUUGUCUCCCAGUUCAAGGGAAUGUCAAUGGACAGAAAGUCUGGUUAUAGAAGUAAGAAAAGGGAACAUGUAGGGAUCUUAAGGGAAUAAACUGGGUAAGGAAUUAAUAUUUUAAAUGUAAAUAUAGAAAACAUCCAGUUUAAAAAAAGCAAUAAAAUUUUCUAAAAAAUAUGAAUGACAUAAAAGAAAAGCAAGAUGCCAAGUAAUCACAUGUAUUUCCUAGGAAAUUGAAGUGGUAGUCUGAGUAAUACUAGUGGAAAGACUGAGAUGAUCAAGUCUCAACUAGAAGCACUUCUCUCUCCCAAAUAUCAGUGUCAGACACAAAGUGCUCUAUAGAUAUCCAAAGCAUGAGUUUACUUGGAGCUAAGCAUACAGUACUUGUUUUUCCCUUCUUCCUUAGGACCUUUUCUUCUUGACAAAGUAUAAAGGUCAUGACUUAUCAGGAAAACAAAUAUGCCCUUCAAACACUUGGCUUUUGGAAUAAAGAAAUGAAUGAUAUAAACCCACUGUCUUCCAGGAACCAUAAGAACAGAAAAGUGCAGAGUGUAGGAAGUUCUUAUAGACAAUAUUUUUAUUCACAGGUCAUUCCUGUACACUCUAUCUAGUUUUCAGUGUUUCCAUGCCCAGACAUAAGGGUAGGAUGAUUUAUCAUGAUUCUUUCUUAAGUCCAAAAGUAAGAUACUGGACUAGGGACAGGGAGAAAAAUGUCUUGAGGACCAGUUAAACAUCUUCUUUAAUAAGUUAAUAAAAACAGGAGAGAGUCUAUUUGAAAUUGUCAUUUGUGAAUUUUACACUAUUGACAUAUUUGGCCAGAAUCCAUGAUAAUUUUCCACUUAAACACUUAGGUGUAGGAGCCACCAAAAGUAUAUAUGUAUACAUCAGCCAACAAAACUAGGUAAGAUUGAUGAAGGUAAGAAGUGCUUUCUGCCAGGCACCAGAUAUAGAUAUUUACUGAGAGACACAGAUACAGCAUGUCAAAUACAGAAGUGAAUGGUGGUAGUAAACCAGUGCACUGAAAACGGACCUAUUGUUGCUAAAUCUUGAAAAAGGAUUAGAAGAGCUGAGGGUGCUUUCAACACCAUAAGAACAACUAUAUCAAUGAUACAGAGCUUUAUUGUACUAGAAUAAUAUAAAAAGAAAAUACAUGUACUGACCUAUGGCUCCAAAUGAAUAAGUGGCUAAGGAUGUCAUUUUGGGCAACAUUGAAAAGAGAGGCACUUGUCCUUCCUAGUUUGUCUUCCAGUUCAAGGGAAUGUCACGAGUCCGAAAGGCUGUUUAGAGAAGAAGGAAAUGGAAUGCGUAGGGAACUUUUAAUCAGGAAACUGGAAAUGGAAAUAAUAUUUUAAAUGUUUAUAUCUAGUUAAAAAUCUAGUUAAAAGGAAUUAAUUUUGCUAAAAUAUAAAAAAAUGAAUGAUAUAAAAGAAAAUAAAUGUGCAAAGUCAUAACAAUUAUUGGCUCAGAAAUUUAAAGUCAUAGUCAUAGUAAUACUAGUGGAAAGACUGAGAUGAUGAAUUCUCAACUAGAAGAACAUUCUCUCCCAAAUAUCAGUGUCAGACACAAACUGCACUAUAGGUAUCCAAAGCACAGAGGAGAUGAUUACCUUGAGUUAGGGACAGAAUACUUGUUUUUCCCUUCUCCUUAGUACCUUUUCUUCUUGACAAAAAGAGUAAAGGUCCUUAGCUCUCAUUAAAACAACUGUGCCUUUCACAACACUUGGUUUUUGGAAUAAAGAAAUGAAUGAUAUAAUCCCUCAGGAACCAUAAGAACAGGAAAGUCCUGUUGUUUCUGAGAGUCUCCAAGCUCAUGAUUCCCUUAUUUAUAAGGCUCAGAUUAAGGCUAUCUUUUCAGCGAUAUCACUCAAGCCCUACAAAGGACUCACUGAACUUUCCAAAGGACCACAUUUUUCUUCCUUAUUUUUUAUACCAAGACAGAAGGCCCGCUUCCUUCUCCCCAUUUCCAAACACUUCUUCCUCUUUGUUACCACACCACAAUUUGCUCUGAAUUAGAGAAUAUUAGUAAAACCUAUUGGUGAAGGAAUAACUGAGAGGCAGUUGCAGUCACGACAAUAGUUGUGACAUCACAGAAGCUAGGACGCUCAAGGUUACAAGAGAGUUUUCAGGGAGGUCCUAAUGAUUAUGGCACUGAGAACUGCUGUGGACUACCUGCUGAACACCUUUCCUUACAUUGACCAGAUUCGAAUUUUCACUUUCCAAGUAUGUCUCCCGUUACACAGUUGAAACCUAUACAUAACACAUCUCUCUAAAGCUAGAGACUUCUCUCUGCUUCACAAGUGGUUACAUGCUCUGAAUGGAGAAAAUUAGACAGGGUAGAAAAGAUUUAGGAACAUGGAGUGUAGGAGAUAAUUCUAGAUAAUAUUUUUUUUGGUUCUUUUUUUUGGAGCUGGGGAUCGAACCCAGGGCCUUGCGCUUCCUAGGUAAGCGCUCUACCACUGAGCUAAAUCCUCAGCCCCUCUAGAUAAUAUUUUUAUUCCCAGUUUCAUUCCGUUGAUAUAAAGUUCAAUUUUCUGUGUUUUCUCUGUUUCCCAAAGGCCAGUAUUUUCCCUACAGACCUUUAAUUUAAUGAAUAUUGUAUUUCAAUUCCUUAUGGUUAAUUCCUUGAUAGGGGGUUUUGUAAAUUUUCCUCAAUGUGUACUCAAUAAUUCUGUUUUCUAAUUCCAUUUUCUGCAAUGAUUUUUGUCACAAAGUGGGCCCAGCUAUAUAGUGAGUAUAACAGCAUAAAUACUGUAAAACUACUUCAAAUGAUAAACUCACAAAUACUUAUUUUAACAAAAAAAUUACCAGACAUCAGGAAAUCAAAAACAACAUGGACUAUUGUAUUUGGUUAUCUAAUCCCAUUUGAUAUCAGUACUACACUAUCUAGCUUCCAGUUUUCCCAUAGCCAGAACUGAGGGUUUAGGAUGUUUUACCAAGAUUCUUUCUUAAAACCAAAUGUAAGAUACCAGAUAAUGGGCAGGAAGAAGAAUGGCUUGAGGACCAGUUAUACGUCUACUUCAAUAGGUUCAUAAAAACAGGACGGAAUCUAUUUGCAUUGUCAUUCCUUAAUUCUACAUUCUUCACAUAGUUCAGCAAAAUCCAUGUAAACAUUCCACUUGACAAAAUAGGUGUAAGAGCCACCAAAAUUAUAUUUGUACUCAUCAGCCAACCAAACUAGAUAAGAUUGAUGAAGGUAAGAAGUUCAUUCUGCAAGGAACCAGGUAUAAAUAUUUACUGAGAGAUACAGAUACAGCCUGUCAAAUACAAAAGUGAAUGCUGGGACAUACCAGUUAACUGAAAACAGACCUCUUGUUGGUAAAUUUUGAAAAAGGAUUCAAAGAGCUGAAGGUGCUUUCAACCCGAGAAGAAUAACAAUGCCCGUGACCAGCGCUUUCUUAUAAUAGACAGAUUUACAAAGAAAGUACAUGGACUAACCUAUGGCUCCAAAUGCAUAUGUGGCAGAAAAUGGCCUUUUUGGGCAACAUUGGAAAGAGAAGCUCUUGUAUUCCCUACUUUGUCUCCCAGUUCAAGGGAAUGCAUUGCGGCAGAAAGGCUGGUUUGAAAAGAAGGAAAUGGAACGGGUAGGAACCUUAUGGGCAGGAAACUGGGAAAGGAAAUAAUAUUUUAAAAGUAAAUAUAGAAACAUCCAGUUAUAAAACAAUAAAUUUUGGUAAAAAAUAAAAAAAGAAUGAUAUGAAAGAAAGAAAGCUGCCAAGUAAAAAGACAUCUUGACACAGAAAUCUGAAGUGUUAUUCAGAGUAAUACUAGUGGAAAGACUGAGAUGAUGAAGUCUCAACUACAAAUACUUCUCUACCCCAGAUAUCAGUGUGAGAGACAAACUGUACUAUAGGUAUCCAAAGUGUGGAGGAGUUUAUUCAGAACUAGGGAUACAAUACUUGUUUUUCCCUUCUUCCUUAGGACCUUUUCUUCUUGAAAAAAAGAGUAAGGGUCAUGAGUUCUCAGGAAAACAACUGUGCCCUUCACAACACUUGGCUUUUGGUAUAAAGAAAUUAAUGAUAUAAACUCUCUUAUUUCAAGGAACCAUAAGAACAGAGAAGUCCAGAUAAGAACAGAGACGUGCAAAUGCUUCUGAGAGUCUCCCAGCUCCUGAUUCCCUUAUGUGGAAGACUCAGAUCAAUGCUAUCUCUUCAGCGAUAUCACUCAAACCCUACAAAGGACUCACUGAACUUUCCAAAGGACCACAUAUUUCUUCCUUGUUUUUUAUACCAGGAAAGAAGAUCAGCUUUUUUCUCCCUAUUUCUAUUCUCUUCAUCGUCUUUGUUAUCACUCCCAAAUGUGCUCUGAAGUAGAGGCCUAUUAGUAAACCCUAGAAGUACUGAAAGAAUAUCUCAGAGGAAGUUGCAGUCACAACAACACUUGUGACAUCACAGAAGAAUCUAGUGCUCUCCAGGUUAGAAGAGAGUUUUCAGGGAAUGCCUGACAAUGAUGUCACUGAAAACUGUCAUGGCCUACCUGAUGAACACCUUUCCUUACAUUGACCAGAUUCAAGUUUGCACUUUAUAGGACCUUUUCUUCUUGCGAAAAAGUGUAAAGGUCAUGAGUUCUCAGGAAAACAACUGUGCCCUUCACAACACUUGGCUUUUGGAAUAAAGAAAUAAAUGAUAUAAA